RNAcentral lists this ribosomal RNA (406 nucleotides) under uncultured bacterium. RNAcentral's name for it is "bacterial SSU rRNA". It matches the Rfam family "Bacterial small subunit ribosomal RNA", at positions 9 to 407 of the family's 1533-position model. The record is from RNAcentral.
GAGUUUGAUCGUGGCUCAGGAUGAACGCUAGCUACAGGCUUAACACAUGCAAGUCGAGGGGCAUCAGGAAGAAAGCUUGCUUUCUUUGCUGGCGACCGGCGCACGGGUGAGUAACACGUAUCCAACCUGCCGAUAACUCGGGGAUAGCCUUUCGAAAGAAAGAUUAAUACCCGAUGGUAUAAUCAGACCGCAUGGUCUUGUUAUUAAAGAAUUUCGGUUAUCGAUGGGGAUGCGUUCCAUUAGGCAGUUGGUGAGGUAACGGCUCACCAAACCUUCGAUGGAUAGGGGUUCUGAGAGGAAGGUCCCCCCACAUUGGAACUGAGACACGGUCCAAACUCCUACGGGAGCAGCAGUGAGGAAUAUUGGUCAAUGGGCGCAGGCCUGAACCAGCCAAGUAGCGUGAAGG